Molecule: ribosomal RNA, 518 nt
Filed under: uncultured bacterium
Lineage: Bacteria
Description: bacterial SSU rRNA
Rfam family: Bacterial small subunit ribosomal RNA
Source: RNAcentral
GAACGCUGGCGGCGUGCCUAAUACAUGCAAGUCGAACGGUCUUUUCUAUGGGAGCUUGCUUCCACUGAGAAGAUAGUGGCGAACGGGUGAGUAACACGUGGGUAACCUGCCCAUAAGAGGGGGAGUAACAUCCGGAAACGGGUGCUAAUACCGCAUAGUUUUCUUGAUCGCAUGAUUGAGAAAGGAAAGACGGCCUUUGUGCUGUCGCUUUAUGGAUGGACCCGCGGCGUAUUAGUUAGUUGGUGAGGUAACGGCUCACCAAGACGAUGAUACGUAGCCGACCUGAGAGGGUGAUCGGCCACAUUGGGACUGAGACACGGCCCAAACUCCUACGGGAGGCAGCAGUAGGGAAUCUUCCGCAAUGGACGAAAGUCUGACGGAGCAACGCCGCGUGAGUGAAGAAAAGGUUUUCGGAUCGUAAAACUCUGUUGUCAGAGAAGAACAAGUUGGAGAGUAACUGCUCCAGCCUUGACGGUAUCUGACCAGAAAGCCACGGCUAACUACGUGCCAGCCGCAGC